Molecule: long non-coding RNA, 1961 nt
Filed under: Podarcis lilfordi (Lilford's wall lizard)
Lineage: Eukaryota; Metazoa; Chordata; Lepidosauria; Squamata; Lacertidae
Source: RNAcentral
GCUAGUCAUUGCAGGAACUUUGUAACUCAGAUUCAUCGUGUUUGUGCUUGCUUUUCCCCUCAUCCUCCUCUUCCCGUCUCCUUUUGUGUCAUAUCUUUCAGACUGUAAUCCUUAAGGUUGGCUUUAUCUUAUUGAUAUUUGUAAGCUGCUUUGGGAGUCUUCUUUUGACUGGCAUGCAGGGUUAAAAUCCUUUAAAUAAAUAAGCCAACAUGUAAACUAGUGAAGCGGUUCAUUUAGAUAUUUAAGGAUUAGUGCUAAGGUACAAUAAAUAGCACGAUCAGCAAAAAAAGGAAAGAAAUCCAGUGACUUUCACCUUUCAAAAUAGUCUUGUAAAAUGGUAUUUUAGGUUCUAUUUGCUGAAAAACUCUUAAUUGUACACAGAAAGUAAAUGAAUGCCUAUUGUCAUUCAUGAUUAAUUGACCCAUUCCAAUUGUUUGGAGUUGUUGACCUUGCAAAACCUGGUAUUUUGUAACUUUAAAAAAAUCUUCCAUGAACAGUUUGGAAGAACACAGUAAAGCUACUUACAUAGAUUAGAUUAAAUUAAUGUACAGGUAGCCAGGUACAUCAACACCAAACCCUGAGUUGAAACUAGUCAGGAAAAUCUAUCAGUGGAAUAUUCUUAUGCUACAUAGAUUUGUGAAGCUUGAUUAUUUACAUCACUUAUUUGCUAAAAUUCUAAUGUUAAAUACAUGGUGCUAUAUUUUAUAAAAUAAUUAAAUUUAAUUAAAUAAUAUUAAUGCUAAGAAGUUGCUCUUGAGGAAUUCUGAAUAGGUCAUGAAUACUUUAUCUGAUGGCAUGCAUGUUCCAUUGACAAUGUACAGCUAAACAAAGAUGAGGUGAGAAGCAUUUGCUAUUUAAAAUGGAAAUGUGGAUUGACACUCAUAUACAAUGCUAAGUAAGGAAUAGUACAGGGGUUGGGCCGGUUCGUGGUCCCGCAGACGCCAUGGUGGGCCGGAGUGUGUGUGUGCGCGCACACACACAUGCACAAACGCUAUUUCUGGUGUGGAGGAGGCGUGAGCAACUUCCCAUUGGCUGCAGGAGCUUCCUGCAGCCAAUGGGAAGCCGGCCAGCGUCGCAGAAGGCGGUCCCUGACCAGGCGACGGGGGUCCAUAGGCAGGUUAAACAACCCCCAUGGGCCGCUUGUGGCCCAUGGGCCGUAAGUUGCCGACCCCUGAGAUAGUAUAACAGUCUUUCUGCUUUUAAAAAAAGCAAGGUAGCAUGGACAAACAGCCAAGUAGGCUUGCAACCGGGUGGGCUGCCUCCCUAAAUUUUAUCUGUAGCCUGCCCUAAAUUUCCCUCUAAAUAAUUACAUUUAUGGUACAUCCAUAGCAACUGUCAAUAUUAUAUCAGCGUAAAGUUGAUCUUGUUCUUUUAAGUUAUCAUAAGGACUUUACUGGAGCCCUGGAUUUGAAUGAACUUAUACUACAUUUUGCAGCAUUGAAGAAAAUGUUUGUUAUAAAUUAUGAUUUCUAAACUAACUUUUGCUAUAAAGUAUACUCCAGUUGUAGCUUAUUCUUGUUUCUUCUACUGGUGAGUUAUUUUUUAUUUUAAUCUUUUUUGCUAAUUGGUAGCAAGAAAGGUAACAAUUGUUGAAGUUGCUUAGUGAAUUUGUUUGAAUGUUUAACUUGCAGUAAGGCUGCAAAAAAUAAGGGUUAACUAAAAGCAGUUUAUGAACCUACCUUAAAAAGGCCUGCAGACCAGAUAAUCUACUUCCCUACUUUUUUUGUCAUUGUUCCCCCUACCCACAAACUUAUAGGCUGUCUACAGGCCUUAGAUUUGCUUUAAUGAUGCUUUCACCAUUUCAAGCACAGUUUAUGAGCUCUGGACUGGUUCAUUACAAAACUUUUCUUCCAAUUAUACUAGUACUACUAAUUGAACCCAAGUGCACAACGUGAUAUAAAGCACUUGUUAACACAAAUGCCUGGCUUGCCUGCUAUUCUGCCCCCUCCAAAGCUUUCAUU